UUCAGGAUGAAUUUAAUUUUGGUUCUGAUUGAACGUUUUUCAGUAGUUUUGAGACAUGCGAAUCGUUGUUCUUAUAAGUUUUAUAUUUAAACUAAAAAAAUAGUCACUAAAUUAAAUAUAAUACCAAUAAGAAUAAGGUGUAAAGGUGAGUAUUGUAAAUCAGAUACCUUAUAGUCUCCAUAAUUUGGGGAUAUUUUUACUUCUUGAAUGAUUCCAUUUUUACUAUUUAUGGAUGUAAACCAACCUUACUCUUUUUCUAUUUACCUAUUCAAGGUAAAGUAGUUUAAGAGUAUAGGAAAGGUGAUGGAUACUUAUUAUAAAGUUAUAAAUUAUUAAUCUCUUUAGAGCUCUAAGUAGUUUAUUCUUAGAUAAGGACAAGUCAAAAGAUAAAUUAGCUAUUUAUCCAGAAAGGAAAGUUUCUGCUAUAAGAUUCGAUUUAUUUUGUUUAAUGGUAGUUGGUAGGGUAAAAGCCUACCAAGCCUACGAUCAAAAGCCAAGUUUGAUAGAACAAAUGGCCACAUUGGGAGUGAAAUGCCCCAAGUAGUGUAAACUACCAGCAGUCGAGAAUAUUAGUCAAUGCUCGCAAGAGUGAACUAGCUAACUGAAAUCACAUAAUACAUAAUUGUGUUAAAUGUGAUAAGGUAAGGGAAAAAACUGAUGUUACCUUACUAUUAGUGUUGUCCAAAUCUGGUGCCAGAAGACUCGGUAAGACCAGAAACGCAAACGUUAAUCGUCCUUAUCAGGCGUAAAGGGUUUGUAGGCUGCUUUUACUAUUUCUAUUUAAAAUAGCUCUGAUAAAAAUAAGUUAAAUAGGAAAAAAAAAUAAAAGCUAGAAUCAAAUAGAGGAUAAGCCGAAUAAUACUUAGAGUAGGGAUGAUAUCCAUAGAUACUAAGUGGAAUACUAAAGGUGAAAGCUUUUAUCUACUAAUGAUUGACGCUGAGAAACGAAGGUGAGAAUAGGAAAUAGGAUUAGAUACCCAGAUACCUCUCACUGUCAACGAUGAAUGGUGGUUUGUUAGUUUUAAUAAAAACUGAUAACGAUGCUAACGCGAUAACCAUUCCGCCUUGCAAGUACGGUUGCAAAACUGAAACCAAAAAAAUUAGUCGGUCUCGAAGCAAACGAAGUGGAGCAUGUUAUUUAAUACGAUAGUACGCGUAAAACCUUACCAGUUCUUGCAUAGCCAUUCUGUUACUAGAAAAAUUUUUGUUUUUUAAGUCUCAGAAUGAGUAGUAAUCUAACUUUAAAUUAGAUUAUUCGUUUACAGGUGUUGCAUGGCUGUCGUCAGUCCGUGUUUUGAGAAGUUAGGUUAACUCCGCUAACGGACGCAAUCCCUGUUGUUAAUUUAUACUUAACAAUUAAUGAAUUUUAUAUAUUUUCAUUUGGGGCUAAGACAAGUCGUUAUGAUCCUUAUGAACUGGGCUAUAGACGUGCUACAAAAACUUUUACAAAGUGAAGCAAAACCAUACCCUUGUACUUAAGUUAAUAUUUAAUAUUAUAUUAAAUAAUAGGGUUAUAAGGAUUAGCUAAUCAUUAAAGAAAGUUAAAUAAUUAAAUUAUAAACGGAUUGUCGCCUGUAAUUCGGUGACAUGAAGAAGGAAUUUCGAGUAAUCGUUGAUCACUACGCAACGGUGAAGUUGGAAUUCGGGAUGAACUAACUGUCUGUCACUGGGAAGGAGCUUAAAUUGGGGGAAACUGCCACGAGGUUAUAUCUUAAACAAAGGGAUACACUAAUGAAUAAUAUACUGCAAAUUUAUUAUUAAUUUUUUAAUCUUUAAUAAGAUUAAAAUUAAGUGUAGUUUCUAUGCUAUUUAUAAUAUUUUUAUAUUGUAAGUUAGUCAUUUAUUAAAAAAACACCUUUGUUAAGCUAAUUAGUAUCUGUUAACCCAAUUAAGUAACAUUUCAAAAGUCAUAGCAGGGUAGUGGUACUGGAAAGUGCUGCUGGAAAAUAAAAUAU
This 1955-nucleotide ribosomal RNA is filed under the name Amanita sinensis. RNAcentral's name for it is "small subunit ribosomal RNA". The stretch from base 1 to 1715 matches the Rfam family "Bacterial small subunit ribosomal RNA". The record is from RNAcentral. Lineage: Eukaryota; Fungi; Basidiomycota; Agaricomycetes; Agaricales; Amanitaceae.